This 73-nucleotide transfer RNA is filed under the name Dendronephthya gigantea. RNAcentral's name for it is "tRNA-Tyr". It matches the Rfam family "tRNA". Rfam says of the family: Transfer RNA (tRNA) molecules are approximately 80 nucleotides in length. The record is from RNAcentral. Lineage: Eukaryota; Metazoa; Cnidaria; Anthozoa; Malacalcyonacea; Nephtheidae.
CCUUCGAUAGCUCAUUUGGUAGAGCGGAGGACUGUAGAUCCCUAGGUCACUGGUUCAAAUCCGGUUCGAAGGA